RNAcentral lists this ribosomal RNA (490 nucleotides) under uncultured bacterium. Its description in RNAcentral is "partial 16S ribosomal RNA". It matches the Rfam family "Bacterial small subunit ribosomal RNA", at positions 30 to 507 of the family's 1533-position model. The record is from RNAcentral.
AUUGAACGCUGGCGGCAGGCCUAACACAUGCAAGUCGAACGGUAACAGGAAGAAGCUUGCUUCUUUGCUGACGAGUGGCGGACGGGUGAGUAAUGUCUGGGAAACUGCCUGAUGGAGGGGGAUAACUACUGGAAACGGUAGCUAAUACCGCAUAAUGUCGCAAGACCAAAGAGGGGGACCUUCGGGCCUCUUGCCAUCGGAUGUGCCCAGAUGGGAUUAGCUAGUAGGUGGGGUAACGGCUCACCUAGGCGACGAUCCCUAGCUGGUCUGAGAGGAUGACCCGCCACACUGGAACUGAGACACGGUCCAGACUCCUACGGGAGGCAGCAGUGGGGAAUAUUGCACAAUGGGCGCAAGCCUGAUGCAGCUAUGCCGCGUGUAUGAAGAAGGCCUUCGGGUUGUAAAGUACUUUCAGCGGGGAGGAAGGGAGUAAAGUUAAUACCUUUGCUCAUUGACGUUACCCGCAGAAGAAGCACCGGCUAACUCCGUG